Molecule: small nucleolar RNA, 132 nt
Organism: Protopterus annectens (West African lungfish)
Lineage: Eukaryota; Metazoa; Chordata; Ceratodontiformes; Protopteridae
Product: small nucleolar RNA SNORA40
Exons: 1
Source: RefSeq, a predicted model, not a curated record
CACACACAUAUGUGUGUGUAUAUAAUAUAUACACACACACACACACACAUAUGUGUGUGUAUAUAUAAUAUAUAUAUAUCUACACACACACACGUGUGUGUGUGUGUGUGGAUAUAUAUAUAUAUAUAUAUA